Molecule: ribosomal RNA, 497 nt
Filed under: uncultured bacterium
Lineage: Bacteria
Description: partial 16S ribosomal RNA
Rfam family: Bacterial small subunit ribosomal RNA
Source: RNAcentral
GACGAACGCUGGCGGCGUGCCUAAUACAUGCAAGUUGAGCGCUGAAGGUUGGUACUUGUACCGACUGGAUGAGCAGCGAACGGGUGAGUAACGCGUGGGGAAUCUGCCUUUGAGCGGGGGACAACAUUUGGAAACGAAUGCUACUACCGCAUAAAAACUUUAAACACAAGUUUCAAGUUUGAAAGAUGCAAUUGCAUCACUCAAAGAUGAUCCCGCGUUGUAUUAGCUAGUUGGUGAGGUAAAGGCUCACCAAUGCGGUGAUACAUAGCCGACCUGAGAGGGUGAUCGACCACAUUGGGACUGGGACACGGCCCAAACUCCUGCGGGAGGCAGCAGUAGGGAAUCUUCGGCAAAGGACGAAAGUCUGACCGAGCAACGCCGCGUGAGUGAAGAAGGUUUUCGGAUCGUAAAACUCUGUUGGUAGAGAAGAACGUUGGUGAGAGUGGAAAGCUCAUCAAGUGACGGUAACUACCCAGAAAGGGACGGCUAACUACGUG